This 1491-nucleotide ribosomal RNA is filed under the name Klebsiella pneumoniae. Its description in RNAcentral is "partial 23S ribosomal RNA". It matches the Rfam family "Bacterial large subunit ribosomal RNA", at positions 1 to 1530 of the family's 2925-position model. The record is from RNAcentral. Lineage: Bacteria; Pseudomonadati; Pseudomonadota; Gammaproteobacteria; Enterobacterales; Enterobacteriaceae.
GGGUUGUGAGGUUAAGCGACUAAGCGUACACGGUGGAUGCCCUGGCAGUCAGAGGCGAUGAAGGACGUGCUAAUCUGCGAAAAGCGUCGGUAAGGUGAUAUGAACCGUUAUAACCGGCGAUGUCCGAAUGGGGAAACCCAGUGUGAUUCGUCACACUAUCGUUAACUGAAUACAUAGGUUAACGAGGCGAACCGGGGGAACUGAAACAUCUAAGUACCCCGAGGAAAAGAAAUCAACCGAGAUUCCCCCAGUAGCGGCGAGCGAACGGGGAGCAGCCCAGAGUCUGAAUCAGCUUGUGUGUUAGUGGAACGGUCUGGAAAGUCCGACGGUACAGGGUGAUAGUCCCGUACACCAAAAUGCACAGGCUGUGAACUCGAAGAGUAGGGCGGGACACGUGGUAUCCUGUCUGAAUAUGGGGGGACCAUCCUCCAAGGCUAAAUACUCCUGACUGACCGAUAGUGAACCAGUACCGUGAGGGAAAGGCGAAAAGAACCCCGGCGAGGGGAGUGAAAAAGAACCUGAAACCGUGUACGUACAAGCAGUGGGAGCACCUUCGGGUGUGACUGCGUACCUUUUGUAUAAUGGGUCAGCGACUUAUAUUCUGUAGCAAGGUUAACCGUAUAGGGGAGCCGCAGGGAAACCGAGUCUUAACUGGGCGUUAAGUUGCAGGGUAUAGACCCGAAACCCGGUGAUCUAGCCAUGGGCAGGUUGAAGGUUGGGUAACACUAACUGGAGGACCGAACCGACUAAUGUUGAAAAAUUAGCGGAUGACUUGUGGCUGGGGGUGAAAGGCCAAUCAAACCGGGAGAUAGCUGGUUCUCCCCGAAAGCUAUUUAGGUAGCGCCUCGUGAAUUCAUCUUCGGGGGUAGAGCACUGUUUCGGCUAGGGGGUCAUCCCGACUUACCAACCCGAUGCAAACUACGAAUACCGAAGAAUGUUAUCACGGGAGACACACGGCGGGUGCUAACGUCCGUCGUGAAGAGGGAAACAACCCAGACCGCCAGCUAAGGUCCCAAAGUCAUGGUUAAGUGGGAAACGAUGUGGGAAGGCACAGACAGCCAGGAUGUUGGCUUAGAAGCAGCCAUCAUUUAAAGAAAGCGUAAUAGCUCACUGGUCGAGUCGGCCUGCGCGGAAGAUGUAACGGGGCUAAACCAUGCACCGAAGCUGCGGCAGCGACACUAUGUGUUGUUGGGUAGGGGAGCGUUCUGUAAGCCUGCGAAGGUGACCUGUGAGGGUUGCUGGAGGUAUCAGAAGUGCGAAUGCUGACAUAAGUAACGAUAAAGCGGGUGAAAAGCCCGCUCGCCGGAAGACCAAGGGUUCCUGUCCAACGUUAAUCGGGGCAGGGUGAGUCGACCCCUAAGGCGAGGCCGAAAGGCGUAGUCGAUGGGAAACAGGUUAAUAUUCCUGUACUUGGUGUUACUGCGAAGGGGGGACGGAGAAGGCUAUGUUAGCCGGGCGACGGUUGUCCCGGUUUAAGCAUGUAGGCUGGUU